CGUUACUUGAAAAGGGGAGUGAAUGAUUGGGGAAGAGUUGCAAACGAGGUUGAGACGGAGCAAAUUGUUCUUGAUGAAGAAGCUGGAUCAUGCAAGGGCAGAAUGAGUUCUUUGUGCAGAUACGUGGUUCAAUUCCCCUUUUCUGGUCACAAGAAGCUUCAAGAUUUAGUCCUAAACCUGAUAUAAUCUUGCAAAGGUAUGAUCCUACCUACCAGGCAAC
This 220-nucleotide unclassified non-coding RNA is filed under the name Hevea brasiliensis (rubber tree). Lineage: Eukaryota; Viridiplantae; Streptophyta; Magnoliopsida; Malpighiales; Euphorbiaceae. The record is from RNAcentral.